GGAGCCUCAGAGGGUGGGGCCCAAUCCUGUCUGUGGUGGGAAUUUAUCCCUGAGCCUGAACUUUGUUGGGGGUCCUCCAGACUGGCUGAGAGCAGACCACUGCCUGCUCCAGGCAAAACGAAGAAGGUACCUCAGGUACUUUUAGUGCCUUUUUCUUGCAGUCCCCCCAACUGCCCCUGAGCCCACAAGUGGGCCGGCCUUGCUCAGCUCCCCCUUCCUACACCCCUCUCCCCCGACCCAGUGGCUCAUUUAUGUUCUAUAAAUUAACCGAGUUCAUGGCUGAGGGGCUUAAUUGCUUUCUCUCAGUGGUAACAUAUGGGUAUGUUUACUAGGGUGAUUAAUGCCCCAACUCUGCAAGGAGAGUUAAUUUUGGAAGUUGGGACCACACUGCUCUGGAGGCAUGGGUGGAGGUCCCAUUCAGGGCACAGAGCCCUGCCUGGCCCCCAGGGCAGGGCUCUGUACAACUGAGCUCUGGGGAGGGGAGUACACGUCCCCUUCUCUUUCUGCCCCAGCCCCAACGCUCUUUGACAAAGACUGGCGAAGGAGAGAGGCUGUGCAGCUUUGCCACAGAGGUGAUGGGAAGUGACAGGUAUCUUUAGGCAAUUGGAGAAGAGGAUGUGGGCCCUUCACUUGCUGUGUUCAGCCAGAGACAGCAAGCCUGCCUUCUGCCUCUGGGGCCUCAGAGCCAAGGCCAGGCCUAGUGAGCAGGCUUCUUCAGCUUAAUGAGCUGACAAGAAUGAAUUUUGCCUAAGGAGAAACUGAAAAGGGCUGCAGUGUCCAAGGGGCUUGGGCAUAAAAAUAUUAGAGAUCUAGAUUUUACCAGACCCGUGAACAGAAUUCCUUUUUUGAGGAAGAUCAGCCAUGAGCUAACCUCUGCUGCCAAUCCUCCUGUUUUCGCUGAGGAGAUUAGCCCUGAGCUAACAUCGUGCCCACCUUCCUCUACUUUAUAUGUGGGACGCCUGCCCCAGCAUGGCUUGAUGAGCGGUGCCAUGUCCACACCCGGGAUCUGAACCAGCCAAUUCUGAGCCGCCAAAGCGGAACGCGCGAACGUAACCAUUGCGACACGAGGCCGGCCCAAACAGACUUUUAUAAAGCAGUCAAGGUAUAAAAUAGCUGUUCCCAGUAGCUUCAAGUUUUAUCUUUCUUCAGAAGUUGACUCAAUUCAGUUUCCCUUAUUCCUGGAAGCCUCAUCAAAAUUCUCAAGACCUGGCAUUGAUCAGCAUCGUCUUCACUGAGUCUGAACACACUAUGAAGAGCUGACCUGGAGGCCGAUGCCUGAGAGGCCGCAGGGGAAGCCACGUCUGUGGGAGGGAACAGCGAGAUGUGCACACUGCGAUGACCCUUUCCUACCUGGGAUACAUGGUGUGAUGCCAUGUCUUUCUUAACAGCCAGCUUUCCCCAAAGCAGCCCCCCAGCGGGUCCAUCUCAUUUGCUUUCAUGCUCUCACAAUCCUUGGUGUCCCCACCUUCUCCCAAGUGGUGCCCCCUUCAGCCCCCUCCAGGCUGGGGCAUCCUGGAUCUGCUGAUCUUGCUCUGGGAGAGUCCCUCCUGUGACCUGGUGCUCCCCUCUUGAGACCUUCUGCACCUGUAAAACAAGGACAGAAUAGUCAUUUCCAGGGCCCUUCUUUGCCCUGAAGCUCUGAAAUCCUGCUUCAGUCACUGUUCAUAGCUCUGGGACUCAGUGGGCUCCUGGAUGCCAUCUUGGCCUGUGGCCAUCCUGGUGGAUCCUCACUGGCCCCACCGCCCCCUCAGCCCAGAGAGAAGUUCUGUGUCUCCUGCCUUGCAGUGCCCCGGCCUCUAGAGCGAGUUAAUUCAGGGUCUUUCUCGCAUGCAGGGCCGUUCCUCUGUACUGUCCAGCUGAGGGACUCCAGUCUCAGGCCAGUCUGUGUACUGUGAAAAAAAGUCAGUUGUGAAAAUCUGUUCCCUCUUCCCAUGGAUUGGGCAGGGGACAGUAAGUAGGAGUGGCUAAAUUCCUCAGCAUAAGCCCUACCCAGGAAUCCGGCUGGGAGGGGAGGAGGGAGGAGGAGAGGGGGCAGAGGGAGAAGCUCUGCAUGGUGGAAGUGGCCCAGGCACUGCUUUUAAAGAUGAGACCUCUGGGGGCCGGCCCGGUGGUGCAGCGGUUAAGUUUGCAGGUUCUGCUUCUCAGCGGGCUGGGGUUCACCGGUUUGGAUCCUGGGUGCGGACCUGGCACUGCUUGGCAAGCCAUGCUGUGGUAGGCAUCCCACAUAUAAAGUAGAGGAAGACAGGCACAGAUGUUAGCUCAGGGCCAGUCUUCCUCAGCAAAAAGACGAGGAUUGGCAGUAGUUAGCUCUGGGCUAAUCUUCCUUAAAAAAAAAAAAAAAAAAAAGAUGAGACCUCUGAUGCUCAGCUUAGAAAACGUCUUGUGUGAAUGGGUUUGUUUGCUUUUGUUUUGGGGAGUUUUUUUGCUGAGAAUCCAGGCAGGGCUGAGGCCAGCCUUGGUUGAUAUGGUGCAGGCCAGGGCCAGCAAGCCGAGCUGAGAUGUAAAGUGGUGAGAAUGCGCGCUGGAGCCGGACAGCCACGCAGAUUAGACGUGAUAAUAAUGAUCACAUCAGGAGGAGGAGUUUGUAUUUGCGCUUCGCUUGGAAUAGUGCCGAGUGGGGUGAGUGUGAUGUGUGUGUUUGUUGAAUGCAUUAGGGUGUAUUGUUUAAAAACUCAAUUAGAGUUUUUUAAAAAAUAAGCAUUAUUUUGAAAAAAUUUUAGAUUUAUAGGAAAGUUGCAAUGGGAACACAGAGUUUACCUGUACCCCACCCCCAGAGCCCCUGUUGUUAACAUCUGACGCUACCCUGGUACAGUUGUCACGCUGAGGAACCAGCCCUGGUGCAUUACUAUUAACAAAGCCCCAGGCUCUAUUUGGGUUUCAGUCAUUUUCCCACUAAUGCCCUCCUUCUGUUCCUGGCUCCACUCAGGUAUCACACUGCUUUCAGUUGUCGUGUUUUCUUAGUCUCCUCUGGUCUGUGACAGUUUCUCAGUCUUUUGUUGUUUUUCACAACCUUCGCAGUUUUGAGGAGUACUGGUCAGGUAUUUUGUAGCAGUUCCUUCAAUUGGGAUUUUUCUGAUGUUUUUCUCCUGAUUACACUGGGGUGAUUGGGUUUUGGAAAGAAUACUAAAGAAGCUCUUCCCAUCACAUCAUACGGGGGGACACAGGAGAUCUGCAUGACACUCCUGGUGACAUUAACCGUCAUCAUGUGGCUAAGGGGAUGUCUGCCAGAUUUCUCCACUCUAAGUCACUAUUUUCCGCUCUGCCUACAAUGUUCUUUGGAGCCCAGGUUUGGAGCUUGGAGGAGCGGGGAUUGGGCUCCAGGCCCUGGCGCGGGGCGUGUCUCCAUGUGCCGCUUGGAAUCUCUUGCAAGGAUGAACUGCCCCUUCUCACUCAUUUAUUUACUUAUUCAAUCGUAAUUCGCUUCAGUGUGGAUUUAUAGACAUGUAUUUUAUACUUUGGGUUAUAAUCCAAUGCUGCAUUUAUUUAUUUAUUUAUUAUUGUUUUUUGAGGAAGAUUAGCCCUGAGCUAACUACUGCCAGUCCUCCUCUUUUUGCUGAGGAAGACUGGCCCUGAGCUAACAUCGUGCCCAUCUUCCUCUACUUUAUACGUGGGAUGCCUACCACAGCAUGGCUUGCCAAGCAGUGCCAUGUCCGCACCCAGGAUCCGAACCGGUGAACCCCGGGCCACCGAGAAGCGGAAUGUGCACACUUAACCGCUGCACCACCGGGCCUGCCCCAAUGCUAUGUUUUUUAUUUUGUUGCUUGAAUCGUUCUGGCUUUAGCCAUUAGAAGCUCUUUUGGGUUGUGUGAGAUAAUAGAAAAUAUAUAUAUUGGUGUCUGCCUCCAGUUCCUGGCACAAGGCUCCUAAAACCCUGGUCAUUUGCUGUCUGAUAAGUGCACUAGGAGCAUCUCUUGUUCUAAUACUGUUCUUUGACCUCUGUUCUUGAUGCAGAGCUCCUGAAACCCUUCUAAUUUCCUGGGCGACAGGAGAAGACCUCUUUUGUUCUAAUGAGGUGGCUCUGGGGGGCGCUCCUGGAUGACAGCUGGUCACCGGAAAGACCAGGCUUAGAAUUUUCUGCCCCGCACCCUAUUCUCCUGAGAAGGGAGAAAGGCUGAAAAUGGAGUUAAUGAUCAGUCAUGUCUAUAUGAUGAAACCUCCAUAAAAAUCCCAAAAGUAUGGAGUUCAGAGAGCUUCCAGAUUGGCGAAUACAUUCAUAUACUGAGAGGAUGACACACCCCCAACUCCGUGGGGACAGAAGCUCCUGUGCUCAGUACCCUCCCAGACCUCCCCCUGUAUAUCUCUUUAUCUGGCUGUUCAUCUGUAGCCUUUAUCAUAUCCUUUAAUAAACCGGUAAAUAUAAGUGUUACUCUGAGUUCUGUGAGCUGCUCUAGCAAAUUACUUGAACCCGAGGAGAGGGUAUUUGGAUCCUUCCAUCUAUAGCUGGUCGGUCAGAAGCGCAGGUGAUACCCUGGGCUUGUGAUUGGCAUCUGAAGUUGGGGGGAUCGUGUGGGGAGCAGUCUUUUUUUUUCUCCCCAAAUCCCCCCAGUAUAUAGUUGUAUAUUUUAGUUGUGGGUCCUUCUAGUUGUGGCAUGUGGGACACCGCCUCACCAUGUCCUGAUGAGUGAUGCCAUAUCCGCGCCUAGGAUCUGAAUCGGCGAAACCCUGGGCCGCCGCAGCAGAGCGCGUGAACUUAACCACUCAGCCGUAUGGCUGGCCCCCGGGGAGCAGUCUUGUGGGACUGAGUCCUGAAUCUGUGGAACCUGAUGCUAUCUCCAGGUAGAUAGUGUUCAAAUUGAGUUAAAUGUAGGACACCCUGCUGGUGUCACAGAGAAUUGCUUGUUGUGGGGAAACACCUCCACACCUUUGGUGACCAGAAAUGUCAGAAGAGAAGUGUUCUGUGUGAAUAGUACAGGAGAGAAACAUGGUAGGGAAGAAUUGGGUUUUUCCCAACACAGGAGGUAGGCAGAACUGAGUUUUUCCUGAGCAGGUUGGUUCCUGUGUUCCUUUGACAUGCCCUAAUACUUUCGUUUAUCAAGCACUUCCUUCUUUGUUGUGUGUAUGCUCCAGGCUGGUGUUGUAUUUUCCCUGCUCUAGAGUCAACCAUUUCUCCAAGGAGCCCUGGUCCCUUUUAUCAGAGAAUGAUAUUUAGAAACCAAGAUCUAGACACUGGGUGUGCUCUUUGCUACCGGGGUGUUGUUGCUUCUCGGCUCCUUGCAGCAGAGCUAGGAAAUAAUCGUGUGUAUAUUAACUGGUGUAUAUACAUAUCUAUAACUGUUUCUGUAUCUAUACAUCAGCAUAUAUAUUGGGUUAAACAUGAGUUCAUACUGAGAUCUCUGACUCUAUUCCAAUACAACAGAGUUUUGUUGGAUACAUUUUUAAUUGACCCAUAAAUCAAACUAAUCUGGUAGUUGACUAGCACAGAGAAAAAUAUGAACAUGAAAACAUAAGAAUCUUCAUUCCCGAGGUGAGGGGGGAGGAUAUUGGAUUUCCCACAAGGAGGAAUGAAGGCCCAAGCUCAUCUUCUCUCAACCCUAAGAGACCACGUGACCCUAGCUGACAUCUAGGUUACAGAGAAGACAUUUGAUUACUCUGCGUUUCCACUUUUCACCCAGUUGUCUGCCAUCAUAUAGCUACCAAUAGAGACAGACUCAAAUGGCACCUCCUCACAUAAAGGAAAAAAAAAUGCUCCCUCAUUCCAGGGCCAGCUCGGUUAAGGUGGGAAGGCAGUGCUGUCUGGGCAGUUGGCCUUGGUCUUCUGGGGCAUCUUUCUCUCAUCUCUAGGCACUGCCCUUUCCUCCUUACUAUGCUUGUGUGGCCUUUAGAUGCUAACCCCUGACUCAGCGCCUCCGGCAGAGUUUCCUUGCUCUGAAUUUCUGGGUGCCCAGGCUGGGUUGUUAGAGCCUUUGGGGCCCCCUCUCCUGAGCAGGGAAGUGCCUACAAGGUAGGAAACCUGGUCUUUGCUCCUGCGGGGAAAAGGCCAGUCCAGCCCCUGACAGCACAAUCCUGCCUCAGCAAUGGAGCUCCCCCGGCCCUCACUCUGAAGUGGCCGGUGCUUUACCACGGCGGGUGAGCUCUGCCUUCACCCUUGGGGCAGAUGGCAGUGGCUAGCCGGCAGCCACCACGGCCUGUCUGAGGGGACUCUGUGGAGGGUGGUGGGAGCACGCCUGCAGCAGGAGCUCAGCUCCCUUCACCUGCUCCUCAUCCUCUGCAGGGGCACAAAAGGGCUGCACUGCCUGAGCUUUAGCUCUCCCUCUUUAAGUCAGGGCAGAGGACACAUCUGAGGGACAUGUGGAGCUUGUAGAUCCUGGAAGUAUUUGAUUAAAGGGAAAGGAAUCUUGGCUUGAAGCACCAAGAGUCUUAAGAGACAAGACAGUUAUGAAACAGAGAAAGAUGCUGAGACUUUGCCUUCUGCUUUAGAUCUUUUACAGGUGGGCCCGGGAGGAGGGCACGCCAGGUGUAGUGCUCAGUGUGUGCUGAUCCCACAGGGAACUUGAUGCUCUCUGGGGAGAGAAGUAGGAUUGAAAUCUAAGGCACAUAAGGCAAGAAACAGGCACUUAUUGGGCACUCACUGUGCACCUAGCACUCUGCUGGACACUAGGGGAGAAAGCAAGGGAAGAGGAGGCAUCUCUCCUGUGCUGAAGAGCCCACCAUCUCCUAGAGAAAGUAAGAUGCACAGGAAACCACACCGGGAGUAUAGGUCCUGGCCUGUGACACCUCUGUGGGCCCGCCAGUCAUGACUGGGGCUUCCCUGAGGCAGUAGGAGCGGGCAGGGCAUGGUGUUUGGGAGCAGACCCCAAGUCUGACAGACAUGAAUCCUUCCCAGAUGUGUGAUGUUAGGAGUUCACUUCCCUCCUCCAAACCUCCACUUCCCUGUCCAUAAACUGAGAAGAAUACUGGCAAGAAUAUUGUGAGGAUCCACGUGAUGAUGUCUGCACAGCCUCAGCUGGAUGUGAGGUGUACAGCAACCAUUUAGUUACUGGUAGUAGCUAUUGCAGUUAUUUAAAAGGGAGGGCCAAGUCCAAGGCCAACUGCCCUGGCUGCUCUGCUCUUGCAUGCUCUUAGGGCAUCUUCCAGAGUGAGUGGUCAUGCUCAGAGGGGUGGGAGAUGCCGCAAGGCACUGCCCUGCCCGGCUCCAACAGGCAUCCUCUCGAUAAGAACACGUGCACGAACCUGCGCCCUUCUGCUCUUGCCUCAAAUUGGAAGAGGCCAGGCAAACUAGGCUCCUUAUCUGUCCGCUUGGAAGCAGAAAGGGCUACAAUGGCUCAGUGGAGAGAAUAGCAGCCUCCAAAUUAGUCCACGCUCUAAUCCCCAGAACCUCUGACCCUCCGAUCUUAUGCAGCAGAGGAGAUUUGGCAGAUGUGACCAAGGUAAGCACCUUGAGAUGCGGAAGUUAUCAUGGAUCAGUGGGGUGGACCCAAUGGAAUCACAAGAGUCCUUAUAAGACAGAGACAGGGGGUCAGAGUCAGAGAAGGAGAUGUGACAUUGGGGGCAGAGGUGGGAGUGACACAAUUGAGAAGGGAACCAUAAGCCAAGGAAUGCAGGCAGCCUCUAGGGAAAUGGACUCUCCCACAGAGCCUCCGGAAGGAAUGCAGCCUGCCAAUACCUUGAUUUGAGAUCCAUUUCAGACUUCUGACAUUGAGAAAUGUAAGAAGGUAAGUUUGUGUUGUUUAAGCCACUAAGUCUGUGGUAAUUUGUUACAGCAGUGAUAGGAAACUAAUACAAGUAUCUUACGAAAAAUGACCCUUUCUGGGGCUAACUUCUUUCUUCUUGGCAUGACUGAAUUUUGUACAGAAGCAAUAGAGACCAUGCUGUAAAGGGGGCUUGUUUUUCUUUUGAUCUGUAUUACAAACAUACUACCCCAGGGUAUUGAACACUGAUGCCUGUGCCAAGUUCCCACCCCUCCACAUCAAAAGUGAAUUUCUUAUCUGCAUCAACCGUCCUCGGAUGGAAGCAAGCUUGCUUUUCUUUCGUCGAGGUUCUUGCUGACUGCUUCUUGGAAAGUAAUAAUUAUCUGCCUUUGCUGUUUAGAGCAUCUUCCUUUCCUGAACAUCAGGUGACAACGAUAUCCUGUAGAUAGAUCUUCUGCAGCCUGAAGACUUAUUUUCACACAUUACUUUUCCUUUCUAAAUAACAAAGUGUCUCGAGGGAAAGGCAGCUUCCCAGAGCUGGGCGUGCAGGACUGGGACAUUUCUGUGGGUACGCGUCUGUGAGAGAGUGGGUGCCACGUGUUCUGACCCUCUCCGGAAAUGGACUGACUAAACUCUCCAUGAGAUUGAGGAAGCCUUAAAAACAACAACGAACCCACUCUAUGCUUUGUGCAUUGUAGCUGAUCUAAGAUUAAACCAAAAAUAUGUCUCUUCAGGUAAGGCUCCUCUGCCAGCAUGACUCUCCACAAACAGAAGUCCUUGGUCAUGUCACAGAUGAGGCCAGUGAGAAAACAAGCAGAGCCUAAGUCCUGCAUCCUGCAGUUCAUGCCUAUCCGGAACGGCACUUUAGAGUUCAUAAAGACGCCCUUGCACAUAUACCAUCUUAGACCUACUCUCACUUCACAAAUAAGAGCUACUUUUUUGUCUUUCUUGAGAGCUUGAGAGAUGGCAGGCACUGUGCUGGCUCCUUACCUGGUGUAGUGGUUGGGAGCUCAAGCUUGGAAGCCAAACUGCCCAGGUUUGAUUGCUGGCAUCCUCCUCUUCCCUGCUGAAUGGCCUUGCCCAAAAUGCUUAAGCGCUCUGUGUCUCAGUUUCCUCCUCCGUGGGAAAGAAUAACAGUAUUUACCCUCGGGGAUUGCCAUGAGGGUGACAAGAGCUGAUGUCUGUAAGGGUCUUAGAAUGCUGCCUGCACAUUAGAGGCCCUCAUCGCAUCCCUUUGAGGCAGGUAUUUGUCCUGAACCCACGUCAGCUGUAUCCCUCGCCUCACCUUGGGGCCUAGAACUCUAACUGGAUAACUUGUGUCACGUGACUCCUUGAUUGAUGGGUCCACUGAUUUUCAACAACAGUGCCUAGUUAAUGGAAGAAAGAAUAGGCUUCUCAACAAACGGUGCUGGGACAACUGGAUAGCCACACGCAAAAGAAUGAAGUUGGACCCCUAACACAAUACACUAAAAUCAACUCAAAGUUAAUCAUAAAUCUAAAUGUAAGACCUAAAAUUAUAAACCUCUUAGAAGAAACAGAACAGCAAGUCUUGUUGUCCUUGGAUUAGGCGUUAAUCUCUUGGUUGAUGCUCAAAGCACAAGCCACAAAAGCAAUAGAUAAAUUGGACUUCAUCAAAAUUAAAAACUUUUUUCCCCC
Molecule: long non-coding RNA, 9284 nt
Organism: Equus caballus (horse)
Lineage: Eukaryota; Metazoa; Chordata; Mammalia; Perissodactyla; Equidae
Source: Ensembl